AGCGCAGGCGGGAAGACAAGUUGGAAGUGAAAACCAUGGGCUCAACCCAUGAAUUGCUUUCAAAACUGUUUUUCUUGAGUAGUGCAGGGGUAGAUGGAAUUCCCGGUGUAGCGGUGGAAUGCGUAGAUAUCGGGAGGAACACCAGUGGCGAAGGCGGUCUACUGGGCACCAACUGACGCUGAGGCUCGAAAGCAUGGGUAGCAAACA
This 207-nucleotide ribosomal RNA is filed under the name uncultured bacterium. Its description in RNAcentral is "partial 16S ribosomal RNA". It matches the Rfam family "Bacterial small subunit ribosomal RNA", at positions 568 to 774 of the family's 1533-position model. The record is from RNAcentral.